Molecule: long non-coding RNA, 537 nt
Organism: Varanus komodoensis (Komodo dragon)
Lineage: Eukaryota; Metazoa; Chordata; Lepidosauria; Squamata; Varanidae
Exons: 3
Source: RefSeq, a predicted model, not a curated record
CUUGGGGGUUGAGGCGUAGCAUGGCAGCCUUACUUGGGAAUAAGCAACUGCACUGAACUCCGCGGCGCUUGCUUGCCCGUAGGCUAGGAGUGCCGCACGGAUAAAGAAAUCUGGCCGUGCGACCCUAUAUACAUGCCCGCUCAAUAAGUAAAUCCAGCACUCUAGGAUCGGGGCCCUGCACAGAAGUUCACUCAAGAAAGAAGAGCCAAUGUGUUGGAUUUAGAGGCAUGAAUAGCAUUUUCCAAAGGAGUCCUUGGAAUGACAUGCAUAUGGCACAGGAGGGGAAGUCUCAGCAGGACUGAGAGUGCAGCCCAUUCUGAAGAAACCCACUCUGGACCCAAGGGAGCUGGACAACGACCACCCACUGCAAAUUUGCUUUCUUAGAGAAGCAUGCUGGUCACAGAGGUUGCUGGAUGAUUUGCUCCUGGUGGGUUUCAGCUGGACCUAUAGUCCAACCUGAGUCUACCUGAAGAACAACCAUCUGUGUAGCAGGCCCACUUCUUUGGAACUUCCUGCCUCUGGAGGUAAGGCAGCACC